AAUCAACGCUGGCGGCGUGCCUAACACAUGCAAGUCGCACGAGAAAGGGUAGCAAUACCUGAGUAAAGUGGCGCACGGGUGAGUAACACGUGACUAAUCUACCCUCGAGUGGGAGUAACUGAGAGAAAUACUUAGCUAAUACCGCAUAACACUUACGAGUCAAAGACAGCAAUGCGCUUGGGGAGGAGGUCGCGGCAGAUUAGCUAGUUGGUGGGGUAANGGCCCACCAAGGCAAUGAUCUGUAUCCGGCCUGAGAGGGCGCACGGACACACUGGAACUGAAACACGGUCCAGACUCCUACGGGAGGCAGCAGUGGGGAAUUUUGCGCAAUGGGGGAAACCCUGACGCAGCAACGCCGCGUGGAGGAUGAAA
RNAcentral lists this ribosomal RNA (372 nucleotides) under uncultured bacterium. Its description in RNAcentral is "bacterial SSU rRNA". It matches the Rfam family "Bacterial small subunit ribosomal RNA", at positions 32 to 413 of the family's 1533-position model. The record is from RNAcentral.